This is a long non-coding RNA of Rhea pennata, 576 nucleotides long. RefSeq lists it as uncharacterized. The record is from RefSeq and is a predicted model, not a curated record. Lineage: Eukaryota; Metazoa; Chordata; Aves; Rheiformes; Rheidae. The transcript is spliced from 2 exons.
GAUAAUCAUCCCGAAGCGCCUUCCGGCCUGGGAGGCGCAGAUAAGGGCCGCGCAGUGGACUAGCAGCACUGAUUUGACGUCGGCAGCUGAUAGCUCAGCAGAUGACAGAAAUCGGGUGACACAAAAGGACGGCAAACUCCACUGCGGCAGUGUUACCCCUCCGAAGCCUCCUGCCAGCUCCCCCCUGCCCUGCGUGCAAGCUUGGGUUUUGGUCGCGCUGCCUGGCUCGUCCUGGCGCGGCUCCGGCGGCAGAUGAGCUGACGCACGGCUCGGCGUGGGAACGGCCUCGGCUGCGCUUUACCCGCGACGCUCGCUGCUGCGCCCGGCGCUGGUGAAAUCCCAGCCCCUUGUCUCGCACUGCCUGAGUUCUUCCAAAGCAAGAGAGAAGUCAGACCUAUUUGCCUGCAGGAAAGCAACCCAGAGCCUCUCGUCUCGUGUCCAAACGUACUGAGGUGGCAGCCCACUGGGCUGGCUGCUUGCAGUUUCGGGGAGGGGGGCUUCGCCGAGGCGGGAAUAGUGCCUUGUGGAUAUAAGCUGUGUGUUUCACCAGGGAAUCUCAAAUCACUUUGAAAGGAA